Molecule: transfer RNA, 87 nt
Filed under: Ignavibacteriales bacterium
Lineage: Bacteria; Pseudomonadati; Ignavibacteriota; Ignavibacteria; Ignavibacteriales
Also listed under: 1 other name
Description: tRNA-Ser
Rfam family: tRNA
About the family: Transfer RNA (tRNA) molecules are approximately 80 nucleotides in length. Their secondary structure includes four short double-helical elements and three loops (D, anti-codon, and T loops).
Source: RNAcentral
GGAGAGGUGGCAGAGUGGUUGAAUGCGGCAGUCUCGAAAACUGUUUUAGUCGUUAGGCUAACGGGGGUUCGAAUCCCCCCCUCUCCG